AUUGUUGUAUGUGAAAUGGUGAAUAAAAUGGUUAAAAAAAAAAAAUCUGUUCUUAUCAGUUUAAUAUCUGAUACGUCCCCUACCCGGGGACCAUAUAUUAAAUUGAUUUUUGGAACAGGGAGAUGGAAUAGGGGCUUGCUCCGUCCACUCCACGCAUCGACCCGGUAUUGCAGUACCUCCGGGAACGGUGCACCUCCU
Small nuclear RNA from Electrophorus electricus (electric eel), 198 nucleotides. Its record names the gene U2. It matches the Rfam family "U2 spliceosomal RNA". Rfam says of the family: U2 is a small nuclear RNA (snRNA) component of the spliceosome (involved in pre-mRNA splicing). Complementary binding between U2 snRNA (in an area lying towards the 5' end but 3' to hairpin I) and the branchpoint sequence (BPS) of the intron results the bulging out of an unpaired adenosine, on the BPS, which initiates a nucleophilic attack at the intronic 5' splice site, thus starting the first of two transesterification reactions that mediate splicing. The record is from Ensembl. NCBI's taxonomy places the organism in Eukaryota, Metazoa, Chordata, Actinopteri, Gymnotiformes, Gymnotidae.